RNAcentral lists this ribosomal RNA (779 nucleotides) under Proteus mirabilis. RNAcentral's name for it is "partial 23S ribosomal RNA". It matches the Rfam family "Bacterial large subunit ribosomal RNA", at positions 324 to 1105 of the family's 2925-position model. Lineage: Bacteria; Pseudomonadati; Pseudomonadota; Gammaproteobacteria; Enterobacterales; Morganellaceae. The record is from RNAcentral.
GUAUCGUAAUUGAAGAGGUUUGGAAAGACCCACCACAGAAGGUAAUAGUCCUGUAUGUUAAACGAGAAGACUUUAGAUAUGAUCCAGAGUACCACGGGACACGUGAAACCCUGUGGGAAGCAGGAGGGACCACCCUCCAAGGCUAAAUACUACCUAGUGACCGAUAGCGUAUAGUACCGUGAGGGAAAGGUGAAAAGAACCCCGGGAGGGGAGUGAAAUAGAACCUGAAACCCUGCACUUACAAGCUGUGGAAGCACAUUUCUUGUGUGACCGCGUACUUUUUGUAGAACGGGCCAACGAGUUACGUUAAGUAGCAAGGUUAAGCACUUAAGGUGCGGAGCCGUAGCGAAAGCGAGUUUUAACUGAGCGUUCAGUUACUUGACGUAGACCCGAAACCGGGCGACCUACCCAUGAGCAGGAUGAAGCGAAAGUAAAAUUUCGUGGAGGUCCGAACCCACGAGCGUUGAAAAGCUCGGGGAUGACUUGUGGGUAGCGGUGAAAUUCCAAUCGAGCCCGGAGAUAGCUGGUUCUCCCCGAAAUAGCUUUAGGGCUAGCCUCAAGGUGAGAGAUACGGAGGUAGAGCACUGAAUGUCCUAGGGGGUAUUGCACCUACCGAAGACUAUCAAACUCCGAAUGCCGUCAUCUUAUACUUGGGAGUCAGACUGUGGGUGAUAAGAUUCAUAGUCGAAAGGGCAACAGCCCAGAUCGUCAGCUAAGGUCCCUAAAUGUAAGUUAAGUGGUAAAGGAUGUGGGAUUGCACAGACAACCAGGAUGUUGGC